This 511-nucleotide long non-coding RNA is filed under the name Prunus dulcis (almond). RNAcentral's name for it is "sRNA ncRNA". The record is from RNAcentral. Lineage: Eukaryota; Viridiplantae; Streptophyta; Magnoliopsida; Rosales; Rosaceae.
GCUCACUGGCUUCGGGUUCGUAGGAACUCCGAAGUUAAGCGAGUUGGAGGCUGGAGCAAUCCCAGGAUGGGUGACCACCCUGGGAAGUUGCUUCGUGAGCUCCCAGAAACAAAACCGUGCGGGCUGGUGAGAAUGUAGCCAGGCCCAAAGCGGACAAUAUCCUGCUACGGCGGAGCCGGUCCGGGGUGUGACAGUUUGGUAUCAGAGCCACUCUGCCGUGUGGUGCGAGUGUGCCGACGAGGACGUCGGAUCCCUUAAGGGGGGUGGAUUGUGAGAUCCCACAUCGACCAAACGGAGAGGGGGUGAUGUGCCUUAUAUGGCACACCUCGCAUCAAUAUAGUGGGAGGCCUUUUGGGAGCUCACUGGCUUCGGGUUCGUAGGAACUCCGAAGUUAAGCGAGUUGGAGGCUGGAGCAAUCCCAGGAUGGGUGACCACCCUGGGAAGUUGCUUCGUGAGCUCCCAGAAACAAAACCGUGCGGGCUGGUGAGAAUGUAGCCAGGCCCAAAGCGGA